AGCUAACUUACUUAGAGAACGGGCUUAUGGGGAUCUCCCCUUCCAGGAAGAUGAGAACUGCUAUAAGGAUUCAGGAAAACCCCUGAGGCCCAGGAUGUGGAGAACUGGGCGCCCGUCCCUCACCGCAGGAUUAUUCUUCCAUCCCAGGGAGGAGAGCCACUUGAAUGUCCUGAAAGACACUGGGACUCCGAGGACAAGAUGGGUCAGUCAAGCCAUAACAGAGCAUGGAGGCAGUCCCUUUGUCCACCCUGUCAUCUUCUAGGAACUAGGAAGCACCCUUCCCGGGUCCCUGCUCCAGUGGACUUCCCCGGCUCUUCCUUCCCAGCCUUUGCUGUGGCAUUAGCCAUCUGGAAAAAGAGCUGCUGGUAGGACCUGGAACUUUUGUUCACACCCACAACCCUUCCCUCCAGAUAUCCAGUACUCUGCCUUCAGGGAGGAGACUUGAACUUUAGGCAACAGGAGAAAACCAAACCUUCAAGGGCUUUGGUUCCCUCCAAGGCCAAGGUUCCCAGGAUCCUUGGUUAAGAGGUAUGGGCCACUGCCUUCCGUUCCUCAGUCUUCUUUUCCCUGUUUGUCCCAGAGUUCUGCUAUAACCCCAAAGCUUUUCUGUUUACCAUCAACAUGGAAACUUGACUCUUUAUAUAGGUAUAUUUUCCCUCUUUUGUGCAUCAUCUUGUUCCCCAAAACUGCAUUUUCAUGAAGGAGGCUUGUGGGACUCAAGGGGCCUGGCCAGUCACCCAGGCUCCCCCAGAGCCUCUCAGACCACUGGUCACGUGGAGAAGUUUAAUAAAGACGUCAUUACUUCUUGA
Long non-coding RNA from Cervus elaphus (red deer), 809 nucleotides. RefSeq lists it as uncharacterized. The transcript is spliced from 3 exons. Lineage: Eukaryota; Metazoa; Chordata; Mammalia; Artiodactyla; Cervidae. The record is from RefSeq and is a predicted model, not a curated record.